GGUGGGAGGGUGGGUAAAUUUAACGUGUUGAAUUGACCAGUACACAAUUCGAAAUGACCAGGGAAUAUUUGUAUGAAAAUUUACCUGAAGUGAACAGGUAUUUCUAUUAACCAAUCAAAAGCGAUUAAAUUACGAACGAUAAAUUUUGUACAAACAGGUAACGAGUAAUGUCGAAAGGUAACGAGUAAUGUCGAAAGCAUCCGAGAUGGAAUUAAGUAUUUUUAAUUAAUUAAAAA
This 236-nucleotide long non-coding RNA is filed under the name Mytilus galloprovincialis (Mediterranean mussel). The record is from RNAcentral. Lineage: Eukaryota; Metazoa; Mollusca; Bivalvia; Mytilida; Mytilidae.